This 369-nucleotide ribosomal RNA is filed under the name uncultured soil bacterium. RNAcentral's name for it is "bacterial SSU rRNA". It matches the Rfam family "Bacterial small subunit ribosomal RNA", at positions 26 to 389 of the family's 1533-position model. The record is from RNAcentral.
AGAUUGAACGCUGGCGGCAUGCCUUACACAUGCAAGUCGAACGGCAGCACGGGAGCAAUCCUGGUGGCGAGUGGCGAACGGGUGAGUAAUACAUCGGAGCGUGCCCAAUAGUGGGGGAUAGCCCGGCGAAAGCCGGAUUAAUACCGCAUACGACCUGAGGUGAAAGCAGGGGAUCGCAAGACCUUGCGCUAUUGGAGCGGCCGAUGUCAGAUUAGCUAGUUGGUGGGGUAAAGGCCUACCAAGGCAACGAUCUGUAGUUGGUCUGAGAGGACGACAGCCUACACUGGGACUGACGACACGGCCCAGACUCCGUACGGGACGGCAGCGAGGUAGGGUAAUUUUGGACAAGUCGGGCGCAAGCCUGACUCC